RNAcentral lists this unclassified non-coding RNA (723 nucleotides) under Hevea brasiliensis (rubber tree). Lineage: Eukaryota; Viridiplantae; Streptophyta; Magnoliopsida; Malpighiales; Euphorbiaceae. The record is from RNAcentral.
GAUCACAUCCCCCAACCCAAGCUGUCACAUACAUGCAAGUGUUAAAAGUUAUUAUCUAUUUUAAAUUGUAGACACAUUGCAUGGGGGCAUCUGCAAGUAGAGACAUUGCAUGGGGGCAAUUUCACCAUAUGCGGACUUCCAUCAGCACUGAAGGUGGCUUAGCAAGGAUGAAUUUAGGCAGUCUCACCUUUUCCUACCCCUGAUUUUUCCUUGACCUUAAAAACUACAUUUUAUAUUAUAAUUGACCCAUAUAAACAUAUGAAACUUAUUUAUCUUUGGAAAUAUAUUAUUUAUUGCCCAAUAUUAUUCCUUUUUCCUCAAAUAUUAACUCAUAAUAUUCAAUGUUUGACAAUGUGUGCAUAAAUAAUUUAAUGAUAAUAAUGAGAACAUAAUUUUCUAAAAAAUCAUUUUUUUAAAUAGGAUACCCACAGCCUUGGCCUGCCUCCACCCUGGUUUACCAACAGGAAGGAGCAGGUGGGAUGGGAUUAUGGGAAUAUCAAAACCCAACCCGUCCAUUACAUAUGUAAGCCACAACAUUGGAACGGAAUGAUGCAAACUUGAUUUCUUGAUCAACUAACAUGCAAAAUAAAUCUUCUUAUUUAGCUUGCCAUGAAGUACACUAGUGCAGAAAUGACAUUAAUCCAAAAUCAUUUCAGAUGCUCCCUAAAUAUGAUAUUUGAUGAGUGUUAAGCAUCAUACCUGGCCAUACUUGUUCCACCCCCA